Molecule: non-coding RNA, 73 nt
Filed under: Streptomyces lydicus
Lineage: Bacteria; Bacillati; Actinomycetota; Actinomycetes; Kitasatosporales; Streptomycetaceae
Source: RNAcentral
GGGGAAGUCCGGUGAGAGUCCGGCGCUGACCCGCAACGGUAGGCGGAACCCCGUUCCGCGAGCCCGAUCACCC